GCCAGCGUGGCAUAGUGGUUUGAGCACUGGACCAGGACUCUGGAGACCAAGGUUCACUUCCCCGCUCAGCCA
Molecule: non-coding RNA, 72 nt
Organism: Phrynosoma platyrhinos (Desert horned lizard)
Lineage: Eukaryota; Metazoa; Chordata; Lepidosauria; Squamata; Phrynosomatidae
Source: the annotation of a GenBank genome assembly